Molecule: ribosomal RNA, 253 nt
Filed under: uncultured bacterium
Lineage: Bacteria
Description: partial 16S ribosomal RNA
Rfam family: Bacterial small subunit ribosomal RNA
Source: RNAcentral
UACGUAGGGUGCGAGCGUUGUCCGGAAUUAUUGGGCGUAAAGAGCUCGUAGGCGGUUUGUCGCGUCGGGAGUGAAAACUCGGGGCUUAACUCCGAGCCUGCUUCCGAUACGGGCAGACUAGAGGUAUGCAGGGGAGAACGGAAUUCCUGGUGUAGCGGUGAAAUGCGCAGAUAUCAGGAGGAACACCGGUGGCGAAGGCGGUUCUCUGGGCCGUAACUGACGCUGAGGAGCGAAAGCGUGGGGAGCGAACAGG